UACGUAGGGGGCGAGCGUUGUCCGGAUUCAUUGGGCGUAAAGAGCUCGUAGGCGGUUCGGUAAGUCGGGUGUGAAAUCUCCGUGCUCAACACGGAGCGGCCACCUGAUACUGCCGUGACUCGAGUCCGGUAGGGGAGUGUGGAAUUCCCGGUGUAGCGGUGAAAUGCGCAGAUAUCGGGAGGAACACCAGUAGCGAAGGCGACUUCCUGGCCUGUUCUUGACGCUGAGGCGCGAAAGCUAGGGGAGCAAACGGG
Molecule: ribosomal RNA, 254 nt
Filed under: uncultured bacterium
Lineage: Bacteria
Description: partial 16S ribosomal RNA
Rfam family: Bacterial small subunit ribosomal RNA
Source: RNAcentral